RNAcentral lists this transfer RNA (76 nucleotides) under Candidatus Freyarchaeota archaeon. RNAcentral describes it as "tRNA-Asn". It matches the Rfam family "tRNA". Rfam says of the family: Transfer RNA (tRNA) molecules are approximately 80 nucleotides in length. Lineage: Archaea; Promethearchaeati; Candidatus Freyarchaeota. RNAcentral also lists the same sequence under 1 other name. The record is from RNAcentral.
GCCGAGGUAGCUCAGUUGGUAGAGCGUCAGGCUGUUAACCUGAUGGUCACAGGUUCGAGUCCUGUCCUCGGCGCCA